Suricata suricatta (meerkat) is the source of this 434-nucleotide long non-coding RNA. RefSeq lists it as uncharacterized. The record is from RefSeq and is a predicted model, not a curated record. The transcript is spliced from 4 exons. Lineage: Eukaryota; Metazoa; Chordata; Mammalia; Carnivora; Herpestidae.
UGCUGCAGCUUAAUAACCCAUCUCCACGGCAGAGACGAAUUCCGGACUCGACCAUCAGGUCUGGGCUGGUGGGGAAGGACCCGGCAGAGUUAGGGUCACGGCGAGUCCCACAAGGCAUCUAAAGGAGGUUCUGGGUCAUGGGUAACCCCAGCCUCCCGUUUCCUCACUCACAUGGAUGCGCCACCUAAUGGCCAAAGUACAGAACCGCAGAAUGUCAAGACAGGACUAGGGAUGUGCCUGUUUUUGCAGAACUGCUUCUCAGGGUUUUACCAUACUUGCAGAACUUACAGUACUUCUAGAACUCCUCUCGUACUUUGAAGAGAAGAGACCACACUUCUCCCCAGAAGCUGGCGAGCAUUGCAUUGCAUAUUCUAUAGGGUGCGUACAUUGUCUGGGUGAUUGUGCCCACAUCACAGUCUCCUAGGAUGCCGCAA